RNAcentral lists this ribosomal RNA (490 nucleotides) under uncultured bacterium. RNAcentral's name for it is "partial 16S ribosomal RNA". It matches the Rfam family "Bacterial small subunit ribosomal RNA", at positions 30 to 507 of the family's 1533-position model. The record is from RNAcentral.
AUUGAACGCUGGCGGCAGGCCUAACACAUGCAAGUCGAACGGUAACAGAAAGCAGCUUGCUGCUUUGCUGACGAGUGGCGGACGGGUGAGUAAUGUCUGGGAAACUGCCUGAUGGAGGGGGAUAACUACUGGAAACGGUAGCUAAUACCGCAUAACGUCGCAAGACCAAAGAGGGGGACCUUCUGGCCUCUUGCCAUCGGAUGUGCCCAGAUGGGAUUAGCUAGUAGGUGGGGUAAAGGCUCACCUAGGCGACGAUCCCUAGCUGGUCUGAGAGGAUGACCAGCCACACUGGAACUGCGCCACGGUCCAGACUCCUACGGGAGGCAGCAGUGGGGAAUAUUGCACAAUGGGCGCAAGCCUGAUGCAGCCAUGCCGCGUGUAUGAAGACGGCCUUCGGGUUGUAAAGUACUUUCAGCGGGGAGGAAGGGAGUAAAGUUAAUACCUUUGCUCAUUGACGUUACCCGCAGAAGAAGCACCGGCUAACUCCGUG